UGGAUCCAGACUUUGAUCAUGGCUCAGGACGAACGCUGGCGGCGUGCCUAACACAUGCAAGUCGAACGAAGCUUGACGAAUGAUUUCUUCGGAAUGAAUUCUGAUAUGACUUAGUGGCGGACGGGUGAGUAACACGUGAGCAACCUGCCUCUCAGAGAGGAAUAACGGCUGGAAACGGUCGCUAAUACCUCAUAACGUAUAUUUAGGGCAUCUUAGAUAUACCAAAGAUUUAUCGCUGAAAGAUGGGCUCGCGUCUGAUUAGAUAGUUGGUGAGGUAACGGCUCACCAAGUCGACGACCAGUAGCCGGACUGAGAGGUUGAACGGCCACAUUGGGACUGAGACACGGCCCAGACUCCUACGGGAGGCAGCAGUGGGGAAUAUUGCACAAUGGGCGUAAGCCUGAUGCAGCAACGCCGCGUGAGGGAAGACGGUUUUCGGAUUGUAAACCUUCGUCUUUGGUGAAGAAGAAAGUGACGGUAACCAAGGAGGAAGCCACGGCUAACUACGUGCCAGCAGCCGCGGUAAUACGUAGGUGGCAAGCGUUGUCCGGAAUUACUGGGUGUAAAGGGAGCGCAGGCGGGACUGCAAGUUGGAUGUGAAAUACCGAGGCUCAACCUCGGAGCUGCAUCCAAAACUGUAGUUCUUGAGUGAAGUAGAGGUAGGCGGAAUUCCGAGUGUAGCGGUGAAAUGCGUAGAUAUUCGGAGGAACACCAGUGGCGAAGGCGGCCUACUGGGCUUUAACUGACGCUGAGGCUCGAAAGUGUGGGGAGCAAACAGGAUUAGAUACCCUGGUAGUCCACACUGUAAACGAUGAUAGCUAGGUGUGGGGGGUCUGACCCCUUCCGUGCCGGAGUUAACGCAAUAAGCUAUCCACCUGGGGAGUACGGCCGCAAGGUUGCAACUCAAAUGAAUUGACGGA
RNAcentral lists this ribosomal RNA (920 nucleotides) under uncultured Bacillota bacterium. RNAcentral's name for it is "bacterial SSU rRNA". It matches the Rfam family "Bacterial small subunit ribosomal RNA", at positions 1 to 917 of the family's 1533-position model. The record is from RNAcentral. Lineage: Bacteria; Bacillati; Bacillota.